CCUACGGGGGGCAGCAGUGAGGAAUAUUGGUCAAUGGCCGAGAGGCUGAACCAGCCAAGUCGCGUGAGGGAAGACGGCCCUACGGGUUGUAAACCUCUUUUGUCGGGGAGCAAAGCGAGUCACGUGUGACUCAUUGAGAGUACCCGAAGAAAAAGCAUCGGCUAACUCCGUGCCAGCAGCCGCGGUAAUACGGAGGAUGCGAGCGUUAUCCGGAUUUAUUGGGUUUAAAGGGUGCGCAGGCGGAGGUGCAAGUCAGCGGUCAAAUUGCGGGGCUCAACCCCGUACUGCCGUUGAAACUGCAGCCCUUGAGUGCGCGAGAAGUAUGCGGAAGGCGUGGUGUAGCGGUGAAAUGCAUAGAUAUCACGCAGAACUCCGAUUGCGAAGGCAGCAUACCGGCGCGCAACUGACGCUCAUGCACGAAAGCGUGGGUAUCGAACAGGAUUAGAUACCCCUGUAGUC
RNAcentral lists this ribosomal RNA (459 nucleotides) under uncultured bacterium. RNAcentral's name for it is "partial 16S ribosomal RNA". It matches the Rfam family "Bacterial small subunit ribosomal RNA", at positions 338 to 795 of the family's 1533-position model. The record is from RNAcentral.